This 722-nucleotide long non-coding RNA is filed under the name Pelobates cultripes (western spadefoot toad). The record is from RNAcentral. Lineage: Eukaryota; Metazoa; Chordata; Amphibia; Anura; Pelobatidae.
UAGUAGUGUCUGUUUGUAUAAUGCAGUAUUGGAGUGUGUUGAGGUGUGUAUAAUGGAGUAUUGGAGUAGUGUUGAGGUGUGUAUAAUGGAGUAUUGGAGUAGUGUUGAGAUGUGUAUAAUGGAGUAUUGGAGUAAUGUCGAAUCGUCCUGGUAUAAUGGAAUAGGGUUGAGGUGUGUAUAAUGGAGUAGUGUUGAGGUGUGCAUAAUGGGGUAUUGGAGUAGUGUUGAGGUGUGUAUAACUGAGUACUGGAGUAGUGUUGACGUGUGUAUAGUGGGGUAUUGGAGUAGUGUUGAGGUGUGUAUAAUGGAGUAUUGGAGUAGUGUUGAGGUGUGUAUAAUGGAGUAUUGGAGUAGUGUUGAGCUGUGUAUAAUGCAGUAUUGGAGUAGUGUUGAGGUGUGUAUAACUGAGUACUGGAGUAGUGUUGACGUGUGUAUAGUGGGGUAUUGGAGUAGUGUUGAGGUGUGUAUAAUGGAGUAUUGGAGUAGUGUUGAGCUGUGUAUAAUGCAGUAUUGGAGUAGUGUUGAGGUGUGUAUAAUGGAGUAUUGGAGUUGUGUUGAGGUUUCUAUAUAAUGGAGUAUUGGAGUAAUGUUGAGUCUUGGUAUAAUGGAUUGGGUUGAGGUGUUUAUAAUGUAAUAUUGUAGUGUUGAGGUGUGUAUAAUGGAGUAGUGUUGAGGUGUGUAUAAUGGGGUACUGGAGUAGUGUUGAGCCCUGGUUUAAUAGA